This 406-nucleotide ribosomal RNA is filed under the name uncultured bacterium. RNAcentral describes it as "partial 16S ribosomal RNA". It matches the Rfam family "Bacterial small subunit ribosomal RNA", at positions 30 to 526 of the family's 1533-position model. The record is from RNAcentral.
AUUGAACGCUGGCGGCAGGCCUAACACAUGCAAGUCGAACGAGUGGCGGACGGGUGAGUAAUGUCUGGGAAUCUGCCUGAUGGAGGGGGAUAACUACUGGAAACGGUAGCUAAUACCGCAUACUAUCGGAUGUACCCAUAUGGGAUUAGCUAGUUGGUGGGGUAACGGCUCACCUAGGCGACGAUCACUAGCUGGUCUGAGAGGAUGAUCAGCCACACUGGAACUGAGACACGGUCCAGACUCUUACGGGAGGAAGCAGUGGGGAAUAUUGCACAAUGGGCGCAAGCCUGAUGCAGCCAUGCCGCGUGUAUGAAGAAGGCCUUAGGGUUGUAAAGUACUUUCAGCGGGGAGGCGUUACCCGCAGAAGAAGCACCGGCUAACUCCGUGCCAGCAGCCGCGGUAAUAC